RNAcentral lists this ribosomal RNA (497 nucleotides) under uncultured bacterium. RNAcentral's name for it is "partial 16S ribosomal RNA". It matches the Rfam family "Bacterial small subunit ribosomal RNA", at positions 28 to 507 of the family's 1533-position model. The record is from RNAcentral.
GAUGAACGCUGGCGGCGUGCCUAAUACAUGCAAGUCGAGCGAACAGACGAGGAGCUUGCUCCUCUGACGUUAGCGGCGGACGGGUGAGUAACACGUGGAUAACCUACCUAUAAGACUGGGAUAACUUCGGGAAACCGGAGUUAAUACCGGAUAAUAUAUUGAACCGCAUGGUUCAAUAGUGAAAGACGGUUUUGCUGUCACUUAUAGAUGGAUCCGCGCCGCAUUAGCUAGUUGGUAAGGUAACAGCUUACCAAGGCAACGAUGCGUAGCCGACCUGAGAGGGUGAUCGGCCACACUGGAACUGAGACACGGUCCAGACUCCUACGGGAGGCAGCAGUAGGGAAUCUUCCGCAAUGGGCGAAAGCCUGACGGAGCAACGCCGCGUGUGUGAUGAAGGUCUUCGGAUCGUAAAGCUCUGUUAGUAGGGAAGAACAAAUGUGUAAGUAAAUAUGCACGUCUUGACGGUACCUAAUCAGAAAGCCACGGCUAACUACGUG